RNAcentral lists this ribosomal RNA (553 nucleotides) under Longpotamon nanlingense. RNAcentral's name for it is "partial large subunit ribosomal RNA". It matches the Rfam family "Bacterial large subunit ribosomal RNA", at positions 1829 to 2627 of the family's 2925-position model. Lineage: Eukaryota; Metazoa; Arthropoda; Malacostraca; Decapoda; Potamidae. The record is from RNAcentral.
ACAUGUUUGUUUGGAGUUAUAAAGAAUUUAACCUGCCCCCUGAUUAACUAUUAAUUAAAGGGCCGCAGUAUUAUAACUGUGCAAAGGUAGCAUAAUCAUUAGGUUUUUAAUUGAAAUCUCGUAUGAAUGGUUGGACAAAAGAAAGACUCUCUUUAUAUUAAGUUUUGAAUUUAACUUUUAAGUGAAAAGGCUUAAAUAUUCUAAAGGGACGAUAAGACCCUAUAAAACUUUACAUUGUUAUUAAUUUUGAUUGAAUUUAUGAAAUAAAAAUUUUAUUUGAUUAUUUGUUAUGUUGGGGAGACAUAAGUAAAAUAUUUUUUUAACUGCUUGAUAGUUAUACAAUUAUUAGUGAAUAAGUAGAAGAUCCUUUUUAAGAUUAGUAGAUUAAGUUACUUUAGGGAUAACAGUGUAAUUUCUUUUGAGAGUUCUUAUCGAAAAAGAAGGUUGCAACCUCGAUGUUGAAUUAAAAUAUCUAUAUAAUGGAGAGGUUAUAUAAGAAGGUCUGUUCGACCUUGAAAAUUUUACAUGAUUUGAGUUCAAACCGGUGUGAGCC